GCCCCCGUAGUUCAACGGAUAGAACAAGUGUUUCCUAAACACUAGAUCCGGGUUCGAUUCCCAGCGAGGGUA
This 72-nucleotide transfer RNA is filed under the name Paludibacter sp. Its description in RNAcentral is "tRNA-Arg". It matches the Rfam family "tRNA". Rfam says of the family: Transfer RNA (tRNA) molecules are approximately 80 nucleotides in length. Their secondary structure includes four short double-helical elements and three loops (D, anti-codon, and T loops). Further hydrogen bonds mediate the characteristic L-shaped molecular structure. tRNAs have two regions of fundamental functional importance: the anti-codon, which is responsible for specific mRNA codon recognition, and the 3' end, to which the tRNAs corresponding amino acid is attached (by aminoacyl-tRNA synthetases). tRNAs cope with the degeneracy of the genetic code in two manners: having more than one tRNA (with a specific anti-codon) for a particular amino acid; and 'wobble' base-pairing, i.e. permitting non-standard base-pairing at the 3rd anti-codon position. The record is from RNAcentral. Lineage: Bacteria; Pseudomonadati; Bacteroidota; Bacteroidia; Bacteroidales; Paludibacteraceae.